RNAcentral lists this ribosomal RNA (252 nucleotides) under uncultured bacterium. RNAcentral describes it as "partial 16S ribosomal RNA". It matches the Rfam family "Bacterial small subunit ribosomal RNA", at positions 524 to 776 of the family's 1533-position model. The record is from RNAcentral.
UACGUAGGGAGCGAGCGUUGUCCGGAAUUACUGGGUGUAAAGGGAGCGUAGGCGGGACUGCAAGUUGGGUGUCAAAUCUACCGGCUCAACCGGUAGCCGCACUCAAAACUGCAGUUCUUGAGUGAAGUAGAGGCAGGCGGAAUUCCUAGUGUAGCGGUGAAACGCGUAGAUAUUAGGAGGAACACCAGUGGCGAAGGCGGCCUGCUGGGCUUUUACUGACGCUGAGGCUCGAAAGUGUGGGGAGCAAACAGG